UACGUAGGGCGCAAGCGUUGUCCGGAAUUAUUGGGCGUAAAGGGCUCGUAGGCGGUUUGUCGCGUCGGGAGUGAAAACACCGGGCUUAACUCGGUGCUUGCUUUCGAUACGGGCAGACUAGAGGCAUGCAGGGGAGAACGGAAUUCCUGGUGUAGCGGUGAAAUGCGCAGAUAUCAGGAGGAACACCAAUGGCGAAGGCAGCUCUCUGGGACGGUACUGACGCUGAGACGCGGAAGCGUGGGGAGCGAACAGG
RNAcentral lists this ribosomal RNA (253 nucleotides) under uncultured bacterium. RNAcentral describes it as "partial 16S ribosomal RNA". It matches the Rfam family "Bacterial small subunit ribosomal RNA", at positions 524 to 776 of the family's 1533-position model. The record is from RNAcentral.